AAAGAAGAAAAAUUUGUUCUGAAAUAUUGUCCAGAGCAGAUUUAAAGAAGAAAACAAA
Non-coding RNA from Carnobacterium inhibens subsp. gilichinskyi, 58 nucleotides. Lineage: Bacteria; Bacillati; Bacillota; Bacilli; Lactobacillales; Carnobacteriaceae. The record is from Rfam.